This is a long non-coding RNA of Oryzias melastigma (Indian medaka), 156 nucleotides long. RefSeq lists it as uncharacterized. The record is from RefSeq and is a predicted model, not a curated record. The transcript has 3 exons. NCBI's taxonomy places the organism in Eukaryota, Metazoa, Chordata, Actinopteri, Beloniformes, Adrianichthyidae.
AGGGAACGUCCGGCAGUGAUGGCCCCCCUGGUCCUCCUGGAGAAAGGGGAUUGCCUGGGCUUCAGGGAGCCAACGGUUUCCCAGGACCAAAAGGACCUCCUGGACCUCCAGGAAAGGAUGGACUCCCUGGACAUCCUGGACAAAGAGGAGAAGUUG